GUGUCAGCCGCCGCGGUAAUACGUAGGUGGCAAGCGUUAUCCGGAAUUAUUGGGCGUAAAGCGCGCGCAGGUGGUUUCUUAAGUCUGAUGUGAAAGCCCACGGCUCAACCGCGGAGGGUCAUUGGAAACUGGGAGACUUGAGUGCAGAAGAGGAAAGUGGAAUUCCAUGUGUAGCGGUGAAAUGCGUAGAGAUAUGGAGGAACACCAGUGGCGAAGGCGACUUUCUGGUCUGUAACUGACACUGAGGCGCGAAAGCGUGGGGAGCAAACAGGAUUAGAAACCCUCGUAGUCC
Molecule: ribosomal RNA, 292 nt
Filed under: uncultured Bacillus sp.
Lineage: Bacteria; Bacillati; Bacillota; Bacilli; Caryophanales; Bacillaceae
Description: partial 16S ribosomal RNA
Rfam family: Bacterial small subunit ribosomal RNA
Source: RNAcentral